GACAGGGGUCUCGAGCGUUAAUCGGAAUCACUGGGCUUAAAGGGAGCGUAGGCUGGCCAGCAAGUGCCUUGUGAAAGCCCCCGGCUCAACCGGGGAACUGCGGGGCAUACUGCUGGUCUUGAGGCAUGUAGGGGCGGGCAGAACAGUAGGUGGAGCGGUGAAAUGCGUAGAGCUCGGGAAGAACAUCGGUGGCGAAAGCGCUCUACUGGACUGCAACUGACACUCAGGGACGAAAGCUAGGGGAGCGAAUGGG
This 253-nucleotide ribosomal RNA is filed under the name uncultured bacterium. Its description in RNAcentral is "partial 16S ribosomal RNA". It matches the Rfam family "Bacterial small subunit ribosomal RNA", at positions 524 to 776 of the family's 1533-position model. The record is from RNAcentral.